Molecule: ribosomal RNA, 1766 nt
Filed under: Salmonella enterica
Lineage: Bacteria; Pseudomonadati; Pseudomonadota; Gammaproteobacteria; Enterobacterales; Enterobacteriaceae
Description: partial 23S ribosomal RNA
Rfam family: Bacterial large subunit ribosomal RNA
Source: RNAcentral
GAGACACACGGCGGGUGCUAACGUCCGUCGUGAAGAGGGAAACAACCCAGACCGCCAGCUAAGGUCCCAAAGUCAUGGUUAAGUGGGAAACGAUGUGGGAAGGCCCAGACAGCCAGGAUGUUGGCUUAGAAGCAGCCAUCAUUUAAAGAAAGCGUAAUAGCUCACUGGUCGAGUCGGCCUGCGCGGAAGAUGUAACGGGGCUAAACCAUGCACCGAAGCUGCGGCAGCGACACUGUGUGUUGUUGGGUAGGGGAGCGUUCUGUAAGCCUGUGAAGGUGUGUCGUGAGGCAUGCUGGAGGUAUCAGAAGUGCGAAUGCUGACAUAAGUAACGAUAAAGCGGGUGAAAAGCCCGCUCGCCGGAAGACCAAGGGUUCCUGUCCAACGUUAAUCGGGGCAGGGUGAGUCGACCCCUAAGGCGAGGCCGAAAGGCGUAGUCGAUGGGAAACGGGUUAAUAUUCCCGUACUUGGUGUUACUGCGAAGGGGGGACGGAGAAGGCUAUGUUGGCCGGGCGACGGUUGUCCCGGUUUAAGCGUGUAGGUGUGUGUUCCAGGUAAAUCCGGUUCACUUUAACACUGAGGCGUGACGACGAGGCACUACGGUGCUGAAGCAACAAAUGCCCUGCUUCCAGGAAAAGCCUCUAAGCAUCAGGUAACAUCAAAUCGUACCCCAAACCGACACAGGUGGUCAGGUAGAGAAUACCAAGGCGCUUGAGAGAACUCGGGUGAAGGAACUAGGCAAAAUGGUGCCGUAACUUCGGGAGAAGGCACGCUGACACGUAGGUGAAGUGAUUUACUCAUGGAGCUGAAGUCAGUCGAAGAUACCAGCUGGCUGCAACUGUUUAUUAAAAACACAGCACUGUGCAAACACGAAAGUGGACGUAUACGGUGUGACGCCUGCCCGGUGCCGGAAGGUUAAUUGAUGGGGUCAGCGCAAGCGAAGCUCCUGAUCGAAGCCCCGGUAAACGGCGGCCGUAACUAUAACGGUCCUAAGGUAGCGAAAUUCCUUGUCGGGUAAGUUCCGACCUGCACGAAUGGCGUAAUGAUGGCCAGGCUGUCUCCACCCGAGACUCAGUGAAAUUGAACUCGCUGUGAAGAUGCAGUGUACCCGCGGCAAGACGGAAAGACCCCGUGAACCUUUACUAUAGCUUGACACUGAACAUUGAGCCUUGAUGUGUAGGAUAGGUGGGAGGCUUUGAAGCGUGGACGCCAGUCUGCGUGGAGCCGACCUUGAAAUACCACCCUUUAAUGUUUGAUGUUCUAACGUGGACCCGUGAUCCGGGUUGCGGACAGUGUCUGGUGGGUAGUUUGACUGGGGCGGUCUCCUCCUAAAGAGUAACGGAGGAGCACGAAGGUUGGCUAAUCCUGGUCGGACAUCAGGAGGUUAGUGCAAUGGCAUAAGCCAGCUUGACUGCGAGCGUGACGGCGCGAGCAGGUGCGAAAGCAGGUCAUAGUGAUCCGGUGGUUCUGAAUGGAAGGGCCAUCGCUCAACGGAUAAAAGGUACUCCGGGGAUAACAGGCUGAUACCGCCCAAGAGUUCAUAUCGACGGCGGUGUUUGGCACCUCGAUGUCGGCUCAUCACAUCCUGGGGCUGAAGUAGGUCCCAAGGGUAUGGCUGUUCGCCAUUUAAAGUGGUACGCGAGCUGGGUUUAGAACGUCGUGAGACAGUUCGGUCCCUAUCUGCCGUGGGCGCUGGAGAACUGAGGGGGGCUGCUCCUAGUACGAGAGGACCGGAGUGGACGCAUCACUGGUGUUCGGGUUGUCAUGCC